This 433-nucleotide ribosomal RNA is filed under the name uncultured bacterium. Its description in RNAcentral is "partial 16S ribosomal RNA". It matches the Rfam family "Bacterial small subunit ribosomal RNA", at positions 29 to 507 of the family's 1533-position model. The record is from RNAcentral.
AACGAACGCUGGCGGCAUGCCUAACACAUGCUAGUCGAACGAGACCUUCGGGUCUAGUGGCGCACGGGUGCGUAACGCGUGGGAACCUGCCCUUAGGUUCGGAAUAACUCCCCGAAAGGGGUGCUAAUACCGGAUAAUGUCUUCGGACCAAAGAUUUAUCGCCUUUGGAUGGGCCCGCGUUGGAUUAGCUAGUUGGUAGGGUAAAAGCCUACCAAGGCGACGAUCCAUAGCUGGUCUGAGAGGAUGAUCAGCCACACUGGGACUGAGACACGGCCCAGACUCCUACGGGAGGCAGCAGUGGGGAAUAUUGGACAAUGGGCGAAAGCCUGAUCCAGCAAUGCCGCGUGAGUGAUGAAGGCCUUAGGGUCGUAAAGCUCUUUUACCCGGGAUGAUAAUGACAGUACCGGGAGAAUAAGCUCCGGCUAACUCCGUG